ACAAUAAAUACUGAUACAGGGCUCUUUUGGGUCUUGUAAUUGGAAUGAGUACAAUUUAAACCUCUUAACGAGGAACAAUUGGAGGGCAAGUCUGGUGCCAGCAGCCGCGGUAAUUCCAGCUCCAAUAGCGUAUAUUAAAGUUGUUGCAGUUAAAAAGCUCGUAGUUGAAACUUGGGUCUGGCUGGCAGGUCCGCCUCACCGCGUGUACUUGUCCGGCCGGGCCUUCCUUCUGGAGAACCUCAUGCCCUUCACUGGGCGUGUUGGGGACCAGGACUUUUACUUUGAAAAAAUUAGAGUGUUCAAAGCAGGCCUUUGCUCGAAUACGUUAGCAUGGAAUAAUAGAAUAGGACGUGCGGUUCUAUUUUGUUGGUUUCUAGGACCGCCGUAAUGAUUAAUAGGGACAGUCGGGGGCAUCAGUAUUCAAUUGUCAGAGGUGAAAUUCUUGGAUUUAUUGAAGACUAACUACUGCGAAAGCAUUUGCCAAGGAUGUUUUCAUUAAUCAGUGAACGAAAGUUAGGGGAUCGAAGACGAUCAGAUACCGUCG
This 544-nucleotide ribosomal RNA is filed under the name fungal sp. MS16-AS. RNAcentral's name for it is "SSU rRNA". It matches the Rfam family "Eukaryotic small subunit ribosomal RNA", at positions 470 to 1020 of the family's 1831-position model. The record is from RNAcentral. Lineage: Eukaryota; Fungi.